Molecule: ribosomal RNA, 468 nt
Filed under: uncultured bacterium
Lineage: Bacteria
Description: partial 16S ribosomal RNA
Rfam family: Bacterial small subunit ribosomal RNA
Source: RNAcentral
GACGAACGCAGGCGGCGUGCUUAACACAUGCAAGUCGAACGGAAAGGCCCCGCUUUUGUGGGGUGCUCGAGUGGCGAACGGGUGAGUAACACGUGAGUAACCUGCCCUUGACUUUGGGAUAACUUCAGGAAACUGGGGCUAAUACCGGAUAGGAGCUCCUGCUGCAUGGUGGGGGUUGGAAAGUUUCGGCGGUUGGGGAUGGACUCGCGGCUUAUCAGCUUGUUGGUGGGGUAGUGGCUUACCAAGGCUUUGACGGGUAGCCGGCCUGAGAGGGUGACCGGCUACAUUGGGACUGAGAUACGGCCCAGACUCCUACGGGAGGCAGCAGUGGGGAAUAUUGCACAAUGGGCGGAAGCCUGAUGCAGCAACGCCGCGUGCGGGAUGACGGCCUUCGGGUUGUAAACCGCUUUCGCCUGUGACGAAGCGUGAGUGACGGUAAUGGGUAAAGAAGCACCGGCUAACUACGUG